CGGACGGGUGAGUAAUGUCUGGGAAACUGCCUGAUGGAGGGGGGUAACUACUGGAAACGGUAGCUAAUACCGCAUAACGUCGCAAGACCAAAGAGGGGGACCUUCGGGCCUCUUGCCAUCGGAUGUGCCCAGAUGGGAUUAGCUAGUAGGUGGGGUAACGGCUCACCUAGGCGACGAUCCCUAGCUGGUCUGAGAGGAUGACCAGCCACACUGGAACCGAGACACGGUCCAG
Molecule: ribosomal RNA, 232 nt
Filed under: uncultured bacterium
Lineage: Bacteria
Description: partial 16S ribosomal RNA
Rfam family: Bacterial small subunit ribosomal RNA
Source: RNAcentral